This 482-nucleotide ribosomal RNA is filed under the name uncultured bacterium. RNAcentral describes it as "partial 16S ribosomal RNA". It matches the Rfam family "Bacterial small subunit ribosomal RNA", at positions 30 to 507 of the family's 1533-position model. The record is from RNAcentral.
AUUGAACGCUGGCGGCAUGCCUUACACAUGCAAGUCGAACGGUAACGGGCCUUCGGGUGCCGACGAGUGUCGAACGGGUGAGUAAUACAUCGGAACGUGCCCGAUCGUGGGGGAUAACGAGGCGAAAGCUUUGCUAAUACCGCAUACGAUCUACGGAUGAAAGCAGGGGACCGCAAGGCCUUGCGCGGACGGAGCGGCCGAUGGCAGAUUAGGUAGUUGGUGGGAUAAAAGCUUACCAAGCCGACGAUCUGUAGCUGGUCUGAGAGGAUGAUCAGCCACACUGGGACUGAGACACGGCCCAGACUCCUACGGGAGGCAGCAGUGGGGAAUUUCGGACAAUGGGCGCAAGCCUGAUCCAGCCAUGCCGCGUGCAGGAUGAAGGCCUUCGGGUUGUAAACUGCUUUUGUACGGAACGAAAAGCCUUCUUUUAAUACAGGAGGGUCAUGACGGUACCGUAAGAAUAAGCACCGGCUAACUACGUG